RNAcentral lists this ribosomal RNA (468 nucleotides) under uncultured bacterium. RNAcentral's name for it is "partial 16S ribosomal RNA". It matches the Rfam family "Bacterial small subunit ribosomal RNA", at positions 28 to 507 of the family's 1533-position model. The record is from RNAcentral.
GACGAACGCUGGCGGCGUGCUUAACACAUGCAAGUCGAACGGAAAGGCCCUGCUUUUGUGGGGUGCUCGAGUGGCGAACGGGUGAGUAACACGUGAGUAACCUGCCCUUGACUUUGGGAUAACUUCAGGAAACUGGGGCUAAUACCGGAUAGGAGCUCCUGCUGCAUGGUGGGGGUUGGAAAGUUUCGGCGGUUGGGGAUGGACUCGCGGCUUAUCAGCUUGUUGGUGGGGUAGUGGCUUACCAAGGCUUUGACGGGUAGCCGGCCUGAGAGGGGGGCCGGCCACAUUGGGACUGAGAGACGGCCCAGACUCCUACGGGAGGCAGCAGGGGGGAAUAUUGCACAACGGGCGGAAGCCUGAUGCAGCAACGCCGCGUGCGGGAUGACGGCCUUCGGGUUGUAAACCGCUUUCGCCUGUGACGAAGCGUGAGUGACGGUAAUGGGUAAAGAAGCACCGGCUAACUACGUG